AACGAACGCUGGCGGCACGCCUAACACAUGCAAGUCGAGCGCUACCUUCGGGUGGAGCGGCGGACGGGUUAGUGACGCGUGGGAACAUGCCCUUCACUAAGGAGUAGCCACUGGAAACGGUGAGUAAUACCUUAUACGCCCUUCGGGGGAAAGAUUUAUCGGAUUUGGAUCGGCCCGCGUUAGAUUAGAUAGUUGGUGGGGUAAUGGCCUACCAAGUCUACGAUCUAUAGCUGGUUUUAGAGGAUGAUCAGCAACACUGGGACUGAGACACGGCCCAG
Molecule: ribosomal RNA, 278 nt
Filed under: uncultured Thalassovita sp.
Lineage: Bacteria; Pseudomonadati; Pseudomonadota; Alphaproteobacteria; Rhodobacterales; Roseobacteraceae
Description: uncultured Thalassobius sp. partial 16S ribosomal RNA
Rfam family: Bacterial small subunit ribosomal RNA
Source: RNAcentral